GAUGAACGCUGGCGGCGUGCCUAAUACAUGCAAGUCGAGCGAACAGAUGAGGAGCUUGCUCCUCUGACGUUAGCGGCGGACGGGUGAGUAACACGUGGAUAACCUACCUAUAAGACUUGGAUAACUACGGGAAACCGGAGCUAAUACCGGAUAAUAUAUUGAACCGCAUGGUUCAAUAGUGAAAGACGGUUUUGCUGUCACUUAUAGAUGGAUCCGCGCCGCAUUAGCUAGUUGGUAAGGUAACGGCUUACCAAGGCAACGAUGCGUAGCCGACCUGAGAGGGUGAUCGGCCACACUGGAACUGAGACACGGUCCAGACUCCUACGGGAGGCAGCAGUAGGGAAUCUUCCGCAAUGGGCGAAAGCCUGACGGAGCAACGCCGCGUGAGUGAUGAAGGUCUUCGGAUCGUAAAACUCUGUUAUUAGGGAAGAACAAAUGUGUAAGUAACUAUGCACGUCUUGACGGUACCUAAUCAGAAAGCCACGGCUAACUACGU
This 496-nucleotide ribosomal RNA is filed under the name uncultured bacterium. RNAcentral's name for it is "partial 16S ribosomal RNA". It matches the Rfam family "Bacterial small subunit ribosomal RNA", at positions 28 to 506 of the family's 1533-position model. The record is from RNAcentral.